AUCACCUCCAAGGAGCACCUUGCCAGCAAGAUCCGAGCCUUCAUCCUCCCCAAGGCAGAGGUGUGCGUGCGGAACCAUGUCCAGCCCUACAUCCCAUCCAUCCUGGAGGCCCUGAUGGUCCCCACCAGCCAGGGCUUCACUGAGGUGCGAGAUGUCUUCUUCAAGGAGGUCACAGACAUGAACCUGAACGUCAUCAACGAGGGCGGCAUUGACAAGCUGGGCGAGGUGAGGCCGGCACCGCCCCUAGGAGGGGGUCUCCUGAGAGUAGGUCUGGUCUGUCCCAGAGGGCCCCGGCUGUGUGACUCAGGGCAGCCGUUCCCCUCCAAGGCCGUCCCUGUAGACGGGGAGGGGCUGCCGGGGACAAGGGGCAGAGGCCGUGAGGCCAGGGCUGUUGGAGUCCUCGUGGGGCCUGCAGUUAGAGGAAAGAGGGAACAUUAGCUCCCGGCCAUCAGCCUUUAGAAACCAAGAGUGGUGCUAAAAUAG
Molecule: small RNA, 483 nt
Filed under: Pongo abelii (Sumatran orangutan)
Lineage: Eukaryota; Metazoa; Chordata; Mammalia; Primates; Hominidae
Description: processed transcript
Source: RNAcentral